Camellia sinensis is the source of this 1616-nucleotide non-coding RNA. The record is from RefSeq and is a predicted model, not a curated record. NCBI's taxonomy places the organism in Eukaryota, Viridiplantae, Streptophyta, Magnoliopsida, Ericales, Theaceae.
AUUGUGUUGAUGUACGUAUGCAUAUAUCUAUAUCUAUAACAAUCUAUAAAAACAGCAAAAUGUGCCUCUAACAUCAAUGUGUCUAACAGGUUAGAUGCCAAAUUCACCCCUCAUGAAGAUUGCCUCACAAGAUAUGCAUUGUUGGGGCGUCUUCAGCAAGCUCGGUGGAAGAGGAUGCUUCUCAAACAAGCUGCCCUUCACCUCUUGCCACCUGACCUGCUGCAACUUUCUCUUGAGUCUUCCUUCACAAGUUCUUCUAUUUUAUAAUAGGUGUAAUUGUUGCCUUGAUGCAAAUUGUUGUCAAUCUUGUUCAAGAAACAUACGAAGUUCAAUGGCCAUUGUCCCUUGUUAUAUCAAGAAAAGCCUUAACAAAAUACCAGCUGAUAUUCCGCUUCCUGUUUCAUUAUGAGCAUGUGGAUCUCCAACUUUGUGGGGCAUGGAAAAUACAUCAAGGUGUGCGUGCUGUUAACACAAAAGGAACUGCAAUCUCUUGGUCAUCUUUGUUGUGUCGUAGUAUGCUUAAGUUUAUUAAUAGCCUUCUACACUAUCUAACAUUUGAGGUUCUUGAACCCAACUGGCAUGUGAUGCAUAAUAGACUACAAACUGCAAAGAGCAUAGAUGAUGUAUAUAUGCACUCCCUUACUGGUUAUUGAAUACCAUAAUUUUUCCCUUGAGAAGUGUAUAACAGAAUGCUUGCUUCUUUUGCCUGAAGUUCUUAAGGUUAGUUUUGAUUUUUAUCGUCAGUGUAAAAGAUGAAGUUUCCUUGCUUAAGAUCACACUUUAUUAAGCUUUCUGUUUGAUAUAUGCCAUUUGAAAAAUUUAUGUUUUGAACUUUUGAACUAGAUUAUCAAACAUGUCUUUGUCCCAAAGUUUCAAUGCUUGGAUUGAAACUAAAGCACCACCUGUCUCAACUGUCUUUUCUUGAAAUCUGCUCAUUUAGAGAAACCUUAUUUGUUGUGCGUAACUGAUAAAGUCUAGGGAAUUUAAUACAAAGACUUGAAUCCCCUUUCCAAUGAUCAAUCCAUGUUUAAGGUGGCUUCAUCAGUCCAUGUUUAAGAGCUUACAACUCAUGUUUCGAAGUUAUGGAACACUCGACCCAACUUACCAUCAGUUGGGUUGUGUUGUCUUGUUGGAGUAAUAUAUCAACAGACUCUUUUUGUGGCCAAUCUUGAAGAUUCCCCGUGUUGUAUUGGGGAAGAAAGUUGGGAACACGAAUUAUUGCUGCCAUACAAUUAUCAACAAAACACAAUGCCAACAUUGAGGCCGCCAGGCAUGAGAUUAAAGAAUUACACCCCAAUGAUCCUCAAAUUGUUUCUCAAUCAAGUAUGGAGUCUGGAGAGAAAGGCAUUAUUCAGAUGAUACCCUUUUGAGUACGUGAUGAUUUCUACGCACAUCAAUAUUGGAGUUUACUGUUGAUACUAAAACAAGCUAUAAUAUAUAUGUUUGUUUAUUUGUACUGUUGAUACUUUUGUUUUGUUUUAGAUAAAAAUUUGACUUCUUGAAUUAUCAAAAACUAUUAGCAUUGUUGGAGGAUAUUUCAUAUAUUUUUGUAAAGAAUGUUUGGUUGAUAUUGUAUUGUUACAGGGUACAUAUAUAUAUAUUAUAUAUUAUUCCUA